Long non-coding RNA from Actinia tenebrosa (Australian red waratah sea anemone), 306 nucleotides. RefSeq lists it as uncharacterized. NCBI's taxonomy places the organism in Eukaryota, Metazoa, Cnidaria, Anthozoa, Actiniaria, Actiniidae. The record is from RefSeq and is a predicted model, not a curated record.
CGCCCAGAAAAAGUAAGAAACAGCGCUACAGAAGCCGGAAACCAGUCAAAUCCCUCAGAUGAAAGCAAAUAAGAGCAGCGCGGGAGSAAAGGCUUCUGUCUGAAGCUGACGAAGCAACCAGUAUUAAAGUUAGAGUUGCCACUCCUUGUAGUCAAAAAACAAUGUUCUUCUCUCCGGAUGGUAGCAAUCAGAAAGAAGUACAAGAAAAGAGGCCGAAGUAUAUAAUUUGAAGACAGAAAUGAAAACCUUGAGAAGAGCAAUGAAAGAAAAGAACGAGCAAGUAGAACAGCAAAUAUCAGAAAAACA